GAUGAACGCUGGCGGCGUGCCUAAUACAUGCAAGUUAAGCGAACAGACGAGGAGCUUGCUCCUCUGACUUUAUCGGCGGAUGGGUGAGUAACACGUGGAUAACCUACCUAUAAGACUGGGAUAACUUCGGGAAACCGGAGCUAAUACCGGAUAAUAUAUUGAACCGCAUGGUUCAAUAGUGAAAGACGGUUUUGCUGUCACUUAUAGAUGGAUCCGCGCCGCAUUAGCUAGUUGGUAAGGUAACGGCUUACCAAGGCAACGAUGCGUAGCCGACCUGAGAGGGUGAUCAGCCACCCUAGACCUGACACACGGUCCACAACCCGACGGAAGGCAGCCGAAGGAGCUCUUCCGCAUUGAGCGAAAUCCUGACGUAGGAACGCCGCGUGUGCAUUUGAGGUGUACGACACGGAAGACUCAGUUAGUAACGGAGAACAAGUGUGUAAGUUACUAUGCACGUCUGGAGGGGACAUAAUCAGAAGUGCACCGCUAAAUACAUG
This 497-nucleotide ribosomal RNA is filed under the name uncultured bacterium. RNAcentral describes it as "partial 16S ribosomal RNA". It matches the Rfam family "Bacterial small subunit ribosomal RNA", at positions 28 to 507 of the family's 1533-position model. The record is from RNAcentral.